GGAAGUGGUCAGUGGGGUGGUCAGUGGCCACCUUGGCCACUCAGCUGUCAUUACGGCGCAUCCAAACACCACCCAAACCUCCUCAUGGACUGACCACAACCCCUCCGGCCGCUCCGGCCGGGCUCAUUUAUUGACUGGUCACUCGUCCGAGCCGGCCGGACUGCCCAGGAAGAGGCCGGAGUAGCUGAAGGCCGGAGCGGAGCCUUCAUCUUCAUCCUCCUCCUCCUCCUCGUCCUCCUCAUCCUCCUCGUGGUCAUCGUGGUCAUCGUGGUCAUCGUCCUCCUCCUCCUCCUCCUCCUGCCGGACAGCGGCCGAGCGGUCAGCGCCGCCUCCCUCGGGCCUGCGGUCAUCUCCGGCCCGGCGCGGCCUCGAGCCGGACGCCGACCAGCGGUCACCUCUGGAGCCCGACGACCACCGGUCAUCGCUCGGGCCGGGUCUUCCUCCCGCUGACCACGCCGCUGACCACUGGUCAUCCUUCGGCUUUGGUGACCACGGCUCGUCCUUCACCGCCGCUGACCACCGGUCAUCCUUCGGCCCCGCCGACCACGGCUCGUCCUUCACCUUCACUGACCAUUGGUCAUCUUUUGCUGACCAUUGGUCACCUCUUGAGCCAUCUCCUUUUCCUCCAGCUGACCACUGGUCAUCCUUCGAUCUUGUUGACCACUGGUCAUCUUUUGACCCUGCUGACCACUGGUCAUCCUU
Molecule: long non-coding RNA, 702 nt
Filed under: Chloebia gouldiae (Gouldian finch)
Lineage: Eukaryota; Metazoa; Chordata; Aves; Passeriformes; Passeridae
Description: Erythrura gouldiae (Gouldian finch) lncRNA (ENSEGOG00005011660.1)
Source: RNAcentral